GAGAGAGGGAGGAGGGAGAGAACAACAACCUCACUGAUGGAAAUAGCUUUCCCUACAGUAUGAACUUCUGUCAGUAUUUUGUCUUACAAUAUAAUGGAUUUUUAACAAACAGAUGUACCACUAUAUAGACCAUAGACAGGUAGUCUGUACCACUAUAUAGACCAUAGACAGGUAGUCUGUACCACUAUAUAGACCAUAGACAGGUAGUCUGUACCACUAUAUAGACCAUAGACAGGUAGUCUGUACCACUAUAUAGACCAUAGACAGGUAGUCUGUACCACUAUAUAGACCAUAGACAGGUAGUCUGUACCACUAUAUAGACCAUAGACAGGUAGUCUGUACCACUAUAUAGACCAUAGACAGGUAGUCUGUACCACUAUAUAGACCAUAGACAGGUAGUCUGUACCACUAUAUAGACCAUAGACAGGUAGUCUGUACCACUAUAUAGACCAUAGACAGGUAGUCUGUACCACUAUAUAGACCAUAGACAGGUAGUCUGUACCACUAUAUAGACCAUAGACAGGUAGUCUGUACCACUAUAUAGACCAUAGACAGGUAGUCUGUACCACUAUAUAGACCAUAGACAGGUAGUCUGUACCACUAUAUAGACCAUAGACAGGUAGUCUGUACCACUAUAUAGACCAUAGACAGGUAGUCUGUACCACUAUAUAGACCAUAGACAGGUAGUCUGUACCACUAUAUAGACCAUAGACAGGUAGUCUGUACCACUAUAUAGACCAUAGACAGGUAGUCUGUACCACUAUAUAGACCAUAGACAGGUAGUCUGUACCACUAUAUAGACCAUAGACAGGUAGUCUGUACCACUAUAUAGACCAUAGACAGGUAGUCUGUACCACUAUAUAGACCAUAGACAGGUAGUCUGUACCACUAUAGACCAUAGACAGGUAGUCUGUACCACUAUACAGACCAUAGACAGGUAGUCUGUACCACUAUAUAGACCAUAGACAGGUAGUCUGUACCACUAUAGACCAUAGACAGGUAGUCUGUACCACUAUAUAGACCAUAGACAGGUAGUCUGUACCACUAUAUAGACCAUGGACAGGUAGUCUAUACCACUAUAGAGACCAUAGACAGGUAGUCUGUACCACUAUAGAGACCAUAGACAGGUAGUCUGUACCACUAUAUAGACCAUAGACAGGUAGUCUGUACCACUAUAGAGACCAUAGACAGGUAGUCUGUACCACUAUAGAGACCAUAGACAGGUAGUCUGUACCACUAUAGAGACCAUAGACAGGUAGUCUGUACCACUAUAUAGACCAUAGACAGGUAGUCUGUACCACUAUAUAGACCAUAGACAGGUAGUCUGUACCACUAUAUAGACCAUAGACAGGUAGUCUGUACCACUAUAGAGACCAUAGACAGGUAGUCUGUACCACUAUAGAGACCAUAGACAGGUAGUCUGUACCACUAUAGAGACCAUAGACAGGUAGUCUGUACCACUAUAUAGACCAUAGACAGGUAGUCUGUACCACUAUAGAGACCAUAGACAGGUAGUCUGUACCACUAUAGAGACCAUAGACAGGUAGUCUGUACCACUAUAGAGACCAUAGACAGGUAGUCUGUACCACUAUAUAGACCAUAGACAGGUAGUCUGUACCACUAUAUAGACCAUAGACAGGUAGUCUGUACCACUAUAUAGACCAUAGACAGGUAGUCUGUACCACUAUAUAGACCAUAGACAGGUAGUCUGUACCACUAUAGAGACCAUAGACAGGUAGUCUGUACCACUAUAUAGACCAUAGACAGGUAGUCUGUACCACUAUAUAGACCAUAGACAGGUAGUCUGUACCACUAUAUAGACCAUAGACAGGUAGUCUGUACCACUAUAUAGACCAUAGACAGGUAGUCUGUACCACUAUAUAGACCAUAGACAGGUAGUCUGUCUAACCCUACUGUACAUAACAGAUGUACCACUAUAGACCAUAGACAGGUAGUCUGUACCACUAUAUAGACCAUAGACAGGUAGUCUGUACCACUAUAUAGACCAUAGACAGGUAGUCUGUACCACUAUAUAGACCAUAGACAGGUAGUCUGUACCACUAUAUAGACCAUAGACAGGUAGUCUGUCUAACCCUACUGUACAUAACAGAUGUACCACUAUAGACCAUAGACAGGUAGUCUGUCUAACCCUACUGUACAUAACAGAUGUACCACUAUAGACCAUAGACAGGUAGUCUGUCUAACCCUACUGUACAUAACAGAUGUACCACUAUAGACCAUAGACAGGUAGUCUGUCUAACCCUACUGUACAUAACAGAUGUACCACUAUAGACCAUAGACAGGUAGUCUGUCUAACCCUACUGUACAUAACAGAUGUACCACUAUAGACCAUAGACAGGUAGUCUGUCUAACCCUACUGUACAUAACAGAUGUACCACUAUAGACCAUAGACAGGUAGUCUGUCUAACCCUACUGUACAUAACAGAUGUACCACUAUAGACCAUAGACAGGUAGUCUGUCUAACCCUACUGUACAUAACAGAUGUACCACUAUAGACCAUAGACAGGUAGUCUGUCUAACCCUACUGUACAUAACAGAUGUACCACUAUAGACCAUAGACAGGUAGUCUGUCUAACCCUACUGUACAUAACAGAUGUACCACUAUAGACCAUAGA
Oncorhynchus keta (chum salmon) is the source of this 2636-nucleotide long non-coding RNA. RefSeq lists it as uncharacterized. The transcript is spliced from 3 exons. The record is from RefSeq and is a predicted model, not a curated record. NCBI's taxonomy places the organism in Eukaryota, Metazoa, Chordata, Actinopteri, Salmoniformes, Salmonidae.